This is a long non-coding RNA of Pantherophis guttatus, 580 nucleotides long. RefSeq lists it as uncharacterized. Lineage: Eukaryota; Metazoa; Chordata; Lepidosauria; Squamata; Colubridae. The record is from RefSeq and is a predicted model, not a curated record.
CAGUGCUUCCUUUUUUGCCCAAGGAUUGUGCAAAACUGCCUGGUUAGAUGAUGAUGAUGGAGAGGAAGAGGAAGAAGGCGGCUAAGUGUGCUUGAUGUUGUCAGCCUAGAGGAUGUCCAGGUAUUUCUAGUGACCAUCUUCAUCCAAACACUUGAUGUUAUUUCCAUAUUGUUUCCUUCAGUUUUCAAUAUUUUUCUCCAUUUGAUGGGGAAAAAACCAGUUGUCUCUGGAUAUUCCAUAAAGCAGCAGUGUUUCUGCAGUUUCAACUGAUCUUGAUGCGAUAGCAACAGGAGAAGUUAUGAUGGAUUUUAUAAGAUGCAAUUCAGAAACAGAUGGGCUUUGCAGCAUACUCUGAAGGUUACAAAUAAGAAUUUGAAAUGAAGGGCAAGAGGAAGGACCUAUGUGAGCAAAUCCCAAUCACCAGGAACUUCUGUAAAAAGCUUUCUACCAGAAUAGCCAUGAUUAAUAUGAAUAGGGCUAAGAAUGAGUCCAUUGCUAAGACCUUCAAACUGGAUACUUUAUAGCGUUUCUUUAUUGCCUCUCAAGAAUGUUAUUUAAGGCAAUAUACAACACUCAUAGA